AUUGAACGCUGGCGGCAGGCCUAACACAUGCAAGUCGAAUGGUAACAGGAAACAGCUUGCUGUUUCGCUGACGAGUGGCGGACGGGUGAGUAAUGUCUGUGAAACUGCCUGAUGGAGGGGGAUAACUACUGGAAACGGUAGCUAAUACCGCAUAACGUCGCAAGACCAAAGAGGGGGACCUUCGGGCCUCUUGCCAUCAGAUGUGCCCAGAUGGGAUUAGCUAGUAGGUGGGGUAACGGCUCACCUAGGCGACGAUCCCUAGCUGGUCUGAGAGGGUGACCAGCCACACUGGAACUGAGACACGGUCCAGACUCCUACGGGAGGCAGCAGUGGGGAAUAUUGCACAAAGGGCGCAAGCCUGAUGCAGCCAUGCCGCGUGUAUGAAGAAGGCCUUCGGGUUGUAAAGUACUUUCAGCGGGGAGGAAGGGAGUAAAGAUAAUCCCUGCGCUUAUUGACGUUACCCGAAGAAGAAGCACCGGCUAACUACGUG
This 490-nucleotide ribosomal RNA is filed under the name uncultured bacterium. RNAcentral describes it as "partial 16S ribosomal RNA". It matches the Rfam family "Bacterial small subunit ribosomal RNA", at positions 30 to 507 of the family's 1533-position model. The record is from RNAcentral.